GCCGGAUUUCCGAACGAUUUUGUUCUCCACUCCCGGAAAAUUAUGUUUCCUUAUUUUCUUUGGCGGAAAAUUACAGGUGGUGGGAGAAUCGUAGGUGCGGUGGAGAUGGAUAAAGCAGAAGAAAAGAGGGGUCCGGUGAGAAUAGUGGGGAUUGUUGGAGAGGGUAGUGUUAGCCCUCUCAAAUCUACUCCUUGGUUUGACGUCAUGCUUCACACUGUGAGUAUUUUGCAACUCUGACUACUUUCUUCAACUCGAAAAUUAUAUACAGAGUUAAGCA
RNAcentral lists this unclassified non-coding RNA (277 nucleotides) under Hevea brasiliensis (rubber tree). The record is from RNAcentral. Lineage: Eukaryota; Viridiplantae; Streptophyta; Magnoliopsida; Malpighiales; Euphorbiaceae.